Long non-coding RNA from Thamnophis elegans (Western terrestrial garter snake), 514 nucleotides. RefSeq lists it as uncharacterized. The transcript is spliced from 2 exons. The record is from RefSeq and is a predicted model, not a curated record. NCBI's taxonomy places the organism in Eukaryota, Metazoa, Chordata, Lepidosauria, Squamata, Natricidae.
UAAAAACACAUUUACAUGAAAAAUCUCCUGCUCGAGCAGGGGUUGGACUGGAAGACCUCCAAGGUCACUUCCAAGUCUAUUAUUCUCUAAUUCUGUAAAAGUCUCCUGUUCGAGCAGGGGUUGGACUAGAAGACCUCUGAGGUCCCUUCCAGUUCUGUUCUGACGGAAGUGUCUGCCAGACAAUAAAGGGCUGAAUUUGACCCUGGGGGAGGGAGGGGGCCCUUGUAAAACAGCCAAGUCCUCUCUAUGACCUCUCCAUCCUGCAGGGCGGCCAUGGUGAGGGCAGCAGGGCAACCGUCCAAAUAAUCCGAACCACCCAGUACCAACGGAAGCGAUGGAGACCUUACCGGUUGGGCAGCCUCUCAGCUCUGAGCCGAGGGCUGAUGAAGACCGUGCAUUUCCAACUUUUUGUUGCACCACGUCGAUUUUCGAUACCAAAUGAGUAUUGGCAUCAUUAAGGACAUUGUGAUUUACUUUACUACAAGAGACAUGAGGAAUAUGAUAUUGCAAGAGU